Molecule: ribosomal RNA, 433 nt
Filed under: uncultured bacterium
Lineage: Bacteria
Description: partial 16S ribosomal RNA
Rfam family: Bacterial small subunit ribosomal RNA
Source: RNAcentral
AACGAACGCUGGCGGCAUGCCUAACACAUGCAAGUCGAACGAGACCUUCGGGUCUAGUGGCGCACGGGUGCGUAACGCGUGGGAACCUGCCCUUAGGUUCGGAAUAACUCCCCGAAAGGGGUGCUAAUACCGGAUAAUGUCUUCGAACCAAAGAUUUGUCGCCUUUGGAUGGUCCUGCGUUGGAUUAGCUAGUUGGUAGGGUAAAAGCCUACCAAGGCGACGAUCCAUAGCUGGUCUGAGAGGAUGAUCAGCCACACUGGGACUGAGACACGGCCCAGACUCCUACGGGAGGCAGCAGUGGCGAAUAUUGGACAAUGGGCGAAAGCCUGAUCCAGCAAUGACGCGUGAGUGAUGAAGGCCUUAGGGUUGUAAAGCUCUUUUACCCGGGAUGAUAAUGACAGUACCGGGAGAAUAAGCUCCGGCUAACUCCGUG